GCAGCACGGGGGCAACCCUGGUGGCGAGUGGCGAACGGGUGAGUAACAUAUCGGAACGUGCCCUGGAGUGGGGGAUAACUAGUCGAAAGAUUAGCUAAUACCGCAUACGAUCUACGGAUGAAAGUGGGGGAUCGCAAGACCUCAUGCUCGUGGAGCGGCCGAUAUCUGAUUAGCUAGUUGGUGGGGUAAAGGCCUACCAAGGCAUCGAUCAGUAGCUGGUCUGAGAGGACGACCAGCCACACUGGGACUGAGUCACGGCCCAGACUCCUACGGGAGGCAGCAGUGGGGAAUUUUGGACAAUGGGCGCAAGCCUGAUCCAGCAAUGCCGCGUGAGUGAAGAAGGCCUUCGGGUUGUAAAGCUCUUUUGUCAGGGAAGAAACGGUGGAGGUUAAUACCUUCUGCUAAUGACGGUACCUGAAGAAUAAGCACCGGCUAACUACGUGCCAGCAGCCGCGGUAAUACGUAGGGUGCAAGCGUUAAUCGGAAUUACUGGGCGUAAAGCGUGCGCAGGCGGUUGUGCAAGACAGAUGUGAAAUCCCCGGGCUCAACCUGGGAAUUGCAUUUGUGACUGUACGGCUAGAGUGUGUCAGAGGGGGGUAGAAUUCCACGUGUAGCAGUGAAAUGCGUAGAGAUGUGGAGGAAUACCGAUGGCGAAGGCAGCCCCCUGGGAUAACACUGACGCUCAUGCACGAAAGCGUGGGGAGCAAACAGGAUUAGAUACCCUGGUAGUCCACGCCCUAAACGAUGUCUACUAGUUGUCGGGUCUUUAUUGACUUGGUAACGCAGCUAACGCGUGAAGUAGACCGCCUGGGGAGUACGGUCGCAAGAUUAAAACUCAAAGGAAUUGACGGGGACCCGCACAAGCGGUGGAUGAUGUGGAUUANUUCGAUGCAACGCGAAAAACCUUACCUACCCUNGAC
Molecule: ribosomal RNA, 920 nt
Filed under: uncultured bacterium
Lineage: Bacteria
Description: bacterial SSU rRNA
Rfam family: Bacterial small subunit ribosomal RNA
Source: RNAcentral